AGCUUAUCAACUCCUCCAGUCGAAGAAAUAUGUACCCUGACAAUUUCCCCGUAACGUUGAUCUGAGGCAAGUCCAUCCUAGUUUGGCUUAGGCCUAUUUUACUUAACAAAAAUGAUUCAGUCUUAGAGCAUCUUGUUUGCACCUUUGUGUAUUUGGUUGUUUGUUUUUAUAUGGCAAAGAUCAUUUUAGUGGCCAGCCUCCUAUGUUAAAAUAAAUUAUCUAUAUUUGAUCCA
Molecule: long non-coding RNA, 233 nt
Filed under: Elaeis guineensis (African oil palm)
Lineage: Eukaryota; Viridiplantae; Streptophyta; Magnoliopsida; Arecales; Arecaceae
Description: long non-coding RNA (EGUI_LNC004387)
Source: RNAcentral